CAGUGGGGAAUAUUGGACAAUGGGCGAAAGCCUGAUCCAGCCAUGCCGCGUGUGUGAAGAAGGUCUUCGGAUUGUAAAGCACUUUAAGUUGGGAGGAAGGGCAGUAAGUUAAUACUUUGAUGUUUUGACGUUACCGGCAGAAUAAGCACCGGCUAACUCCGUGCCAGCAGCCGCGGUAAUACGGAGGGUGCAAGCGUUAAUCGGAAUUACUGGGCGUAAAGCGCGCGUAGGUGGUUNGUUAAGUUGGAUGUGAAAUCCCCGGGCUCAACCUGGGAACUGCAUUCAAAACUGNCNAGCUAGAGUNUGGUAGAGGGGGGUGGAAUUUCCUGUGUAGCGGUGAAAUGCGUAGAUAUNGGNAGGAACACCAGUGGCGAAGGCGACCCCCUGGAC
Molecule: ribosomal RNA, 390 nt
Filed under: gamma proteobacterium SCGC AAA024-M13
Lineage: Bacteria; Pseudomonadati; Pseudomonadota; Gammaproteobacteria
Description: bacterial SSU rRNA
Rfam family: Bacterial small subunit ribosomal RNA
Source: RNAcentral